GGGCCCGUAGCUCAGUAAGGAUUAGAGCACCGGGCUUUUAACCCGGGGGUCCCGGGUUCAAUUCCCGGCGGGCCCG
This 76-nucleotide transfer RNA is filed under the name Candidatus Bathyarchaeota archaeon. Its description in RNAcentral is "tRNA-Lys". It matches the Rfam family "tRNA". From Rfam's summary of the family: Transfer RNA (tRNA) molecules are approximately 80 nucleotides in length. The record is from RNAcentral. Lineage: Archaea; Thermoproteati; Candidatus Bathyarchaeota. RNAcentral also lists the same sequence under 2 other names.